This 376-nucleotide ribosomal RNA is filed under the name uncultured bacterium. RNAcentral's name for it is "bacterial SSU rRNA". It matches the Rfam family "Bacterial small subunit ribosomal RNA", at positions 524 to 898 of the family's 1533-position model. The record is from RNAcentral.
UACGGAGGGUGCAAACGUUGCUCGGAAUCAUUGGGCGUAAAGCGCACGUAGGCGGCCUGUUAAGUCGGAUGUGAAAGCCCUGAGCUCAACUCAGGAAGUGCAUUCGAAACUGGCGGGCUUGAAUAUGGAAGAGGGUCGCGGAAUUCCCGGUGUAGAGGUGAAAUUCGUAGAUAUCGGGAGGAACACCAGUGGCGAAGGCGGCGACCUGGGCCAAUAUUGACGCUCAUGUGCGAAAGCGUGGGGAGCAAACAGGAUUAGAUACCCUGGUAGUCCACGCCGUAAACGAUGGAUGCUAGGUGUUGCGGGUAUUGACCCCUGCAGCGCCGCAGUUAACGCAUUAAGCAUCCCGCCUGGGGAGUACGGCCGCAAGGCUAAA